GACGAACGCUGGCGGCGUGCUUAACACACGCAAGUCGAACGGAAAGGCCCUGCUUUUGUGGGGUGCUCGAGUGGCGAACGGGUGAGUAACACGUGAGUAACCUGCCCUUGACUUUGGGAUAACUUCAGGAAACUGGGGCUAAUACCGGAUAGGAGCUCCUGCUGCAUGGUGGGGGUUGGAAAGUUUCGGCGGUUGGGGAUGGACUCGCGGCUUGUCAGCUUGUUGGUGGGGUAGUGGCUUACCAAGGCUUUGACGGGUAGCCGGCCUGAGAGGGUGACCGGCCACAUUGGGACUGAGAUACGGCCCAGACUCCUACGGGAGGCAGCAGUGGGGAAUAUUGCACAAUGGGCGGAAGCCUGAUGCAGCAACGCCGCGUGCGGGAUGACGGCCUUCGGGUUGUAAACCGCUUUCGCCUGUGACGAAGCGUGAGUGACGGUAAUGGGUAAAGAAGCACCGGCUAACUACGUG
RNAcentral lists this ribosomal RNA (468 nucleotides) under uncultured bacterium. Its description in RNAcentral is "partial 16S ribosomal RNA". It matches the Rfam family "Bacterial small subunit ribosomal RNA", at positions 28 to 507 of the family's 1533-position model. The record is from RNAcentral.